GCAAACUUGGUCAUUUAGAGGAAGUAAAAGUCGUAACAAGGUUUCCGUAGGUGAACCUGCGGAAGGAUCAUUAUUGAAUAAAUCUGAUGUGGUUGUCGCUGACUCUCAGGAGUAUGUGCACACCCGUCACCUUUAUCUUACUCCCUGUGCACACACUGUAGGCCUGGAUAAACUAUCGCCGGAUAGGCGGAUGCAGAGAUUGCUGUAGCCUUGUAACCGAGGCCAGCUUUCUUUGAAUUUCCAGGUCUAUGAUUUUACAUACCCCAAAUGAAUGUUAUAGAAUGUGCUCUUAUGGCCUUGUGCCUAUAAAUCAAUACAACUUUCAGCAACGGAUCUCUUGGCUCUCGCAUCGAUGAAGAACGCAGC
This 366-nucleotide unclassified non-coding RNA is filed under the name uncultured fungus. RNAcentral's name for it is "partial contains small subunit ribosomal RNA, internal transcribed spacer 1, and 5.8S ribosomal RNA". The stretch from base 1 to 73 matches the Rfam family "Eukaryotic small subunit ribosomal RNA", at positions 1759 to 1831 of the family's 1831-position model. Lineage: Eukaryota; Fungi. The record is from RNAcentral.